CAAAAUUGGUAUCUUACCAAAACACCGUGUGCACCAUAACUGUUCUUGGUAGCGUAUUGGAUGGGUCACGUACCCCACAUCCGCAGUGCACGUGAGGACUUCGGUCUUUGACUGUGCGAGUCAGCUGUGGGACCUACUGGCCUUUCUCGAUCGCUGCCGCAUGUCCAAACAUUGUAUUACAAAAUUUUAGUCUGAAUCAGUUCACCACAAAGUGAAAUGAAAAA
RNAcentral lists this unclassified non-coding RNA (224 nucleotides) under soil metagenome. RNAcentral's name for it is "partial internal transcribed spacer 1". The record is from RNAcentral.